GAUGAAGAACGUAGCGAAAUGCGAUAAGUAAUGUGAAUUGCAGAAUUCAGUGAAUCAUCGAAUCUUUGAACGCACCUUGCGCCCUUUGGCUAUUCCGAAGGGCAUGCCUGUUUGAGUAUCGUGAACACCUCAACUCUCAUGGUUUGCCAUGAUGAGCUUGGACUUUGGGGGUUUUGCUGGCCUUUGGUCGGCUCCUCUCAAACGGAUCAGCUUUCCAGUGUUUGGUGGCAUCACGGGUGUGAUAACUAUCUACGCCUGUGGUUUUCUGCCAGAUAACCUUCAGCGAUGGAGGUUCGCUGGGGCUCAUAAAUGUCUCUCUUCAGUGGAGACAGCUUUUUGGACGUUUGAUCUCAAAUCAGGUAGGACUACCCGCUGAACUUAAGCAUAUCAAUAAGCGGAGGA
This 402-nucleotide unclassified non-coding RNA is filed under the name soil metagenome. Its description in RNAcentral is "partial contains 5.8S ribosomal RNA, internal transcribed spacer 2, and large subunit ribosomal RNA". The stretch from base 1 to 121 matches the Rfam family "5.8S ribosomal RNA", at positions 35 to 154 of the family's 154-position model. The record is from RNAcentral.